CCUCCUCCCAGCGGCAGCGAGACGGCGGCCGAGAGACUCACCGACGACCUCCUCGUCGAGAUACUCUCGCGCGUGCCCGGCAGGUCGCUCUGCCGCUUCAAGUGCGUCUCCAAGCACUGGCUCGGCCUCAUCAACGACCGCACCUACCGCCGGAAGUUCCCCCGGACCCUGACCGGCUUCUUCUUCAGCAGCACCACGGAGGAGCAAUUGGUACAUCCAGUUCUUCCUUUCACCAAUUUAUCCGGGAGCCGCAGUAGCACCAGUCUCACCUUCCUGCCCAACGGCCUAAACGCCUUUCUUUUGGACUGCUGCAAUGGCCUCCUUCUCUACGACGUAUCUUCCCAUCUUGGCAAGCGCCGUUACGUCGUGUGCAAUCCUGCCACGGGGGAAUGGACUGAGUUGCCGCAUUGCGAUCAUGCCGGCUGGGUGGGUAUUGUGCACUUAGGUUUUGAUCCAGCCGUGUCCCCCCACUUCUAUGUGUUUUUGUUGACGGACCAACUAAAUGGAUUUGGUCUCCCGGGUGUGGACGUCUGUUCAUAUGUCUAUUCAUCGGAAACCGAGAGGUGGGUUCAUCAGGAGAAGAAAUGGUACUGGGAUAUUGAUCUCGUUCGUGUUCACUCAGCUGCAUAUCUUAAUGGUUGUCUGCAUUUUUUCGCCGAAGUCAAUCACAAUACCUUGUGUCUAGCUGCCGACAAGGAGGCGGGAACAAUGAUAUACUCUCAUGUUCCUCCUCUGAAUGAUGGUUUUAUGCAGCAGUCACAGGGCUGCUUGUAUUAUGCUGGUUUUGGAAGAGAUGACAAUGAUGAUCAUGUAGUUCGACUGCUAGUUUAUGUUCUCGAAGACUAUAAUAAUAAAGAAUGGAUACUGAAGCAUAGCAUUGAAAGUUCACAUCUACUUGGAGGGCGACAUGAUGUAGACAUUGAGGAGGACUUUUGUUGA
RNAcentral lists this ribosomal RNA (939 nucleotides) under Triticum aestivum (bread wheat). RNAcentral's name for it is "partial small subunit ribosomal RNA". Lineage: Eukaryota; Viridiplantae; Streptophyta; Magnoliopsida; Poales; Poaceae. The record is from RNAcentral.